This 253-nucleotide ribosomal RNA is filed under the name uncultured bacterium. RNAcentral's name for it is "partial 16S ribosomal RNA". It matches the Rfam family "Bacterial small subunit ribosomal RNA", at positions 524 to 776 of the family's 1533-position model. The record is from RNAcentral.
GACAGAGGGUGCAAACGUUGUUCGGAAUUACUGGGCGUAAAGCGCGUGUAGGCGGCUAAGUAAGUCGGGCGUGAAAUCCCACGGCUCAACCGUGGAAGUGCACUCGAAACUGCAUAGCUAGAGUCCUGGAGAGGAAGGUGGAAUGCUUGGUGUAGAGGUGAAAUUCGUAGAUAUUAGGAAGAACACCAGUGGCGAAGGCGGCUCACUGGAUCGGUACUGACGCUGAGGUGCGAAAGCGUGGGGAGCAAACAGG